AUCUGCCAGCAAGCGAAAAGGGCCAGGCUAGAAGGUUAAUUUGCCGCUACCAAGACGUGUUUACUUCAGAAAAGACUUGUCGACCAAAACAAUAUCACAUAAAAUAAAUACCUACGGGAGAUGCCCAACCUAUCGAGCAACAUCCCAGAAGGUUACCAUGGGCCAAACACGACGAAGCCCAUAAAAUCAUCGGCGACAUGACUAGAGAAGGAAUAAUUGAACCAUCCAGCAGCUCUUGGACCUCACCUGUGGUGCUAGUAAAGAAAAAAGACGGCAGCACUAUGUUUUGCAUAGAUGCCUGUAAUCUUUGCGAAACAGUGAAGUGUUGCAAAAUUUCUCUCCACUACACGUUUUUUGUGACUAUCUGCGCAACAGCAUUACCUUUAACUUUCUUCGUGAUGAGUGAUGACUUAUGGAGCAAGGCAUUUUUUGAAAGAAUUAACCAUUGGACCCAAAAUUGUUUUCGAAUUGUUUUUAGACGAAAAUAGCUUAUUUUAAGUGCAACUAAUCGAAUAUGUGACAUGAUAAGUAAUCAGAUUAUACCCAAUUUCCUGCAGUAUAGGUAUAUAUAGCAAUGAAUUACGGUGGACAGACAGAAAGGUGUUCAACAUGAAAGGUCUCAUUAUUUGUACUCUUUUGGUAUUGGCGUUUGUUGGCUUGUCAAUGGCUGACUGCAGCGGACAAAAGACGAAAGAAAAUUGCACCUGUGAAUUAUGGCUUAAAGAGUGCCCUGCAGGAUCUGAACAAUGCGACGUUAAGUCCGACAAUCCUUGCUCAAUCAUUUUCAAAACGUGUUGCAAACCUUGAAACCGAGAUGGUGUUACCUCUACAUUAAUUAAUUCAAUUAUUUCUGUUAUUAUACAAUAUCAAUAAAAUUGUUUGAAUUAUU
Photinus pyralis (common eastern firefly) is the source of this 889-nucleotide long non-coding RNA. RefSeq lists it as uncharacterized. The transcript is spliced from 2 exons. The record is from RefSeq and is a predicted model, not a curated record. Lineage: Eukaryota; Metazoa; Arthropoda; Insecta; Coleoptera; Lampyridae.